Molecule: transfer RNA, 57 nt
Filed under: Pedobacter sp. AK013
Lineage: Bacteria; Pseudomonadati; Bacteroidota; Sphingobacteriia; Sphingobacteriales; Sphingobacteriaceae
Description: tRNA-Arg
Rfam family: tRNA
About the family: Transfer RNA (tRNA) molecules are approximately 80 nucleotides in length. Their secondary structure includes four short double-helical elements and three loops (D, anti-codon, and T loops).
Source: RNAcentral
AGUUCAACGGAUAGAAUAGAAGUUUCCUAAACUUUAGAUAUGAGUUCGAUUCUCGUC